This is a long non-coding RNA of Perca fluviatilis (European perch), 262 nucleotides long. RefSeq lists it as uncharacterized. The record is from RefSeq and is a predicted model, not a curated record. NCBI's taxonomy places the organism in Eukaryota, Metazoa, Chordata, Actinopteri, Perciformes, Percidae. The transcript has 3 exons.
ACGCCGACAGACCAUAGUGAUGUCCUGCCCGCCAGUGAACGACCUCAUGGACCUCUGGCCUGCUCUUAAAAUAGAGUCUGAGUUGUAUGCAGAGUUCCAGCGGAUUACAAAUCAGAACCUGCCCAACACGUGCUAUGCUGAGCUUGCCGCUAUCUUCCUCGACUGAUGACCUUAUUCAGACGGAAGGCAUCAAAAACUGGGAAGACAGCAGAUGCUCUGGCUGAAAUUUUAAAAAUCCAUGAUGAACAGGAAAUCCAUGACA